AACGGCGACUCUCAGUUCUACAACAUGCGAUGUGCAGUGCGCGACCUAAGAAGUGUUGUGCAAGGAGAUAGGCCGGUACAGUCGCUGCAGCAGUUUUGUGUUGUUCUGCAAUGGCUUGUGGUAUUUUUGUGGCGAUUUUACCGAUGUUUCUUGGUGGUUUUGUGGUGGUGCUGAUUGAUUUUGUGGUAGAGGUGUGGCAAUGUGAAGUCGGAGGGUGGUGGUGUGUUGUGGGUGGUGCGGUGUCCGAUGGUGGUGUAUUGUGGGCGUAGUGGUGUGGUGGUGUUAGGGUACGGUGGUGCUCAUGAUGGUGAUGGCAGGAGACGGUGGUGCUCAUGUUGGUGAGAUGGUGGUUUUGGAGGCGAUGGUGCCCAACUAUUAUGUGUUGUUGUCUGAUGAUGUUGGUGGUGGUUGUGGUGGCAGUGACGAGGUGGGAAUGUCUGUAACCAACUAUUUAGCCGUUUGUGACCAAAAAUUAGCGAUGGAUUAGCAUCAAGGUUGG
This 499-nucleotide long non-coding RNA is filed under the name Olea europaea subsp. europaea. The record is from RNAcentral. Lineage: Eukaryota; Viridiplantae; Streptophyta; Magnoliopsida; Lamiales; Oleaceae.